GUAAUCGAUACUCCACGCUGCACCUUACCCCCCCUUGCUACCCCAAUCUAUAUACCGCCGUCGCCAGCUCACAAUGUGAAUGUACCACCGUGAGCAAAAUUAUUAAACCAUAAAAACGACAGGUCAAGGUGUAGUUUACGGGGGGGGAGAGAUGGGCUACAUUUUCUCCACCAGAAAAUACCACCCGCACCGUGAAAUCUANNCUNNNNGGNGGAUUUAGAAGUAAGCCUGGCAAGACGUGCCAACCUGAAAAAGCUCUGGGAUG
This 265-nucleotide ribosomal RNA is filed under the name Pristurus rupestris rupestris. Its description in RNAcentral is "partial 12S ribosomal RNA". The record is from RNAcentral. Lineage: Eukaryota; Metazoa; Chordata; Lepidosauria; Squamata; Sphaerodactylidae.